Molecule: small nuclear RNA, 95 nt
Organism: Spermophilus dauricus (Daurian ground squirrel)
Lineage: Eukaryota; Metazoa; Chordata; Mammalia; Rodentia; Sciuridae
Source: Ensembl
GUGCUAGUUUUGGCAGCAAAAUUGGAACAAUACAGAAAUUAACAUGGCCCCUGUGCAAAAAUUACACAGAAAUGCAUAAAGUACUCUGUAUUUUA